UGAGCAAAGGUAGUCCUACCAUGGUUCAAGU
RNAcentral lists this non-coding RNA (31 nucleotides) under Rattus norvegicus (Norway rat). The record is from RNAcentral. Lineage: Eukaryota; Metazoa; Chordata; Mammalia; Rodentia; Muridae.